Molecule: long non-coding RNA, 596 nt
Organism: Suricata suricatta (meerkat)
Lineage: Eukaryota; Metazoa; Chordata; Mammalia; Carnivora; Herpestidae
Exons: 2
Source: RefSeq, a predicted model, not a curated record
AGCCUGCACGUGGGAACAUCCUUUCCACCCUCACUCAGGCCCAGAUCUCAAUCUACACGGUCCAUAUACUUCAAGGGAGGAAAGGAGCAAUGGAGGAAAGGAGACAGGAUUUGGUAAACAGCACACUGUCUUUGCUCUAAAACCAGAAGACAAGGAGUGUUUUUCUGCAGAGCAGGACAUUAAGGCUCAGAAUGGUUGACAUGACCAAUACCAUGGUCAAUAAGUGGACAGAUCAGGAUCUGAACUCAAGUCUUCUAGUUCCAGUCUGUUCCUCUUCUCCUCCUGUGGAUACAUCUUGCUGAGCAAGUCACAGAGACUUAAGUAUAUUCCAGGGGCUGCCCAAGCCACCUCCUUUUUCUCCUUACCUCCAGGUCUCGCCAAUCAGUGUGGACUGGAGGGUUCGUCAGGAUGUUCAGAGCUUGGACCGUCACUGUUUCCUCAUCACUGCUCCAUAGGGAUGAGCACAAUCCAUGCUCCAGGCCCCCAGGCACAGCCCUGGAGCCUACAGGGAAGCUGUCAUCCCACCACCUACCCCACUACUUCUUCCCGCCCAAGAUGGAGCAGAGUCCUUCCUUGAAGAAAUUGACCUAACUGCU